UCUCUGGCAGUCCAGUGAUUAAGACUCUGCACUUCCAAUGCAGGAGGAACAGGUUCGAUCCCUGGUUGGGGAA
RNAcentral lists this transfer RNA (73 nucleotides) under Ovis aries (sheep). It matches the Rfam family "tRNA". From Rfam's summary of the family: Transfer RNA (tRNA) molecules are approximately 80 nucleotides in length. Their secondary structure includes four short double-helical elements and three loops (D, anti-codon, and T loops). The record is from Rfam by way of RNAcentral. Lineage: Eukaryota; Metazoa; Chordata; Mammalia; Artiodactyla; Bovidae.